Rhagoletis pomonella (apple maggot) is the source of this 604-nucleotide long non-coding RNA. RefSeq lists it as uncharacterized. The record is from RefSeq and is a predicted model, not a curated record. The transcript is spliced from 3 exons. Lineage: Eukaryota; Metazoa; Arthropoda; Insecta; Diptera; Tephritidae.
UUUUUCAUCUACAAAAAAGUGUAUGGAAAAUACUAAAGUAGGUUUAAUCAGCAGCCUGUGUGAUUUAUUUAGCUCUUAAGUUUGACAAACCGCUUGAGUCGAUCGGCAUUCCGUGUUAAUCCUCAAUAAAUAUACAAGAUGGAAGUAACACAAUUAUCCAUUAGCCGUAAGAAGCGGGUACCCAUUGCUGUGUAUGCCCUGGGAUCGUCCUCUGAGUACCGCAGUGUAGGCAAUAUGUUCGGAAUUGGAAAAUCGACUUAAUGCUUAAUCGUGUUAGAGUUUUGCAAGCAAGCAUGGAUUGUAUUACAUCCUAUUUACCUUAGUCACAUCCUUUUCAGUAAAGACAAGAUACGAGAGUGUAUGUCUGGGUUCAACCAAAUUGGGUUUCCUCAAUGCAUUGGUGCAAUUGUUUUCUAAGAUGGUUGUGAAGAGGGUGUCCAGAUUGUUAAAAAAAAGCGCAAUUUCUGAAAAAAAACGCCAAAAGACGCCAAUUUUUUUAAAAUAAAAUUCAUGAAACCGAUUUUACAUAUCUUUUAUUUUAAAAAUGAGAUCUUGUUAUAAUAUAGUUUUUAAAACCAAAAACGAAUAUAAUACCUUCAGAGGG